This 914-nucleotide ribosomal RNA is filed under the name uncultured marine archaeon. RNAcentral's name for it is "bacterial SSU rRNA". It matches the Rfam family "Archaeal small subunit ribosomal RNA", at positions 1 to 922 of the family's 1478-position model. RNAcentral also lists the same sequence under 1 other name. The record is from RNAcentral.
UUCCGGUUGAUCCCGCCGGACCUGACUGCUAUCGGAUUGAUACUAAGCCAUGCGAGUCAUUGUAGCAAUACAAGGCAUACGGCUCAGUAACGCGUAGUCAACCUAACCUAUGGACGGGAAUAACCUCGGGAAACUGAGAAUAAUGCCCGAUAGAACAUUAUACCUGGAAUGGUUUAUGUUCCAAAUGAUUUAUCGCCAUAGGAUGGGACUGCGGCCUAUCAGUUUGUUGGUGAGGUAAUGGCCCACCAAGACUAUUACAGGUACGGGCUCUGAGAGGAGUAGCCCGGAGAUGGGUACUGAGACACGGACCCAGGCCCUAUGGGGCGCAGCAGGCGAGAAAACUUUGCAAUGUGCGAAAGCACGACAAGGUUAAUCCGAGUGAUUUCUGCUAAAGAGAUCUUUUGUUAGUCCUAGAAACACUAACGAAUAAGGGGUGGGCAAGUUCUGGUGUCAGCCGCCGCGGUAAAACCAGCACCUCAAGUGGUCAGGAUGAUUAUUGGGCCUAAAGCAUCCGUAGCCGGCUCUGUAAGUUUUCGGUUAAAUCUGUACGCUCAACGUACAGGCUGCCGGGAAUACUGCAGAACUAGGGAGUGGGAGAGGUAGACGGUACUCGGUAGGAAGUGGUAAAAUGCUUUGAUCUAUCGAUGACCACCUGUGGCGAAGGCGGUCUACCAGAACACGUCCGACGGUGAGGGAUGAAAGCUGGGGGAGCAAACCGGAUUAGAUACCCGGGUAGUCCCAGCUGUAAACUAUGCAAACUCAGUGAUGCAUUGGCUUGUGGCCAAUGCAGUGCUGCAGGGAAGCCGUUAAGUUUGCCGCCUGGGAAGUACGUACGCAAGUAUGAAACUUAAAGGAAUUGGCGGGGGAGCACCACAAGGGGUGAAGCCUGCGGUUCAAUUGGAUUCAACGCCGGG